CCUACGGGUGGCAGCAGUGAGGAAUAUUGGUCAAUGGGCGAGAGCCUGAACCAGCCAAGUCGCGUGAAGGAUGACUGACCUAUGGGUUGUAAACUUCUUUUAUAUAGGAAUAAAGUGAGGAACGUGUGCCUUUUUGUAUGUACCAUAUGAAUAAGCAUCGGCUAACUCCGUGCCAGCAGCCGCGGUAAUACGGAGGAUGCGAGCGUUAUCCGGAUUUAUUGGGUUUAAAGGGUGCGUAGGUGGUUUGUUAAGUCAGUGGUGAAAGUUUGUGGCUCAACCAUAAAAUUGCAGUUGAAACUGGCAGUCUUGAGUAUAUUUGAGGUAGGCGGAAUGCGUGGUGUAGCGGUGAAAUGCAUAGAUAUCACGAAGAACUCCGAUUGCGAAGGCAGCUUACUAAACUACAACUGACACUGAAGCACGAAAGCGUGGGGAUCAAACAGGAUUAGAUACCCGUGUAGUC
This 460-nucleotide ribosomal RNA is filed under the name uncultured bacterium. RNAcentral describes it as "partial 16S ribosomal RNA". It matches the Rfam family "Bacterial small subunit ribosomal RNA", at positions 338 to 795 of the family's 1533-position model. The record is from RNAcentral.